RNAcentral lists this ribosomal RNA (485 nucleotides) under uncultured bacterium. RNAcentral's name for it is "bacterial SSU rRNA". It matches the Rfam family "Bacterial small subunit ribosomal RNA", at positions 8 to 509 of the family's 1533-position model. The record is from RNAcentral.
AGAGUUUGAUCCUGGCUCAGGACGAACGCUGGCGGCACGCUUAACACAUGCAAGUCGAACGAGCGAAAGGUGCUUGCACCUCUAGCUAGUGGCGGACGGGUGAGUAACACGUGAGCAAUCUGCCUUUCGGUGGGGGAUACCAAUUGGAAACGAUUGUUAAUACCCCAUAACAUAACGAAGCCGCAUGACUUUGUUAUCAAAGAUUUAUUGCCGGAAGAUGAGCUCGCGUCUGAUUAGGUAGUUGGUGAGGUAACGGCUCACCCAAGCCGACGAUCAGUAGCCGGACUGAGAGGUUGAACGGCCACAUUGGGACUGAGACACGGCCCAGACUCCUACGGGAGGCAGCAGUGGGGAAUAUUGCACAAUGGGCGAAAGCCUGAUGCAGCGAUGCCGCGUGAGGGAAGAAGGUUUUAGGAUUGUAAACCUCUGUCUUUGGGGACGAUAAUGACGGUACCCAAGGAGGAAGCUCCGGCUAACUACGUGCC